AGUGAACGCUGGCGGUAGGCCUAACACAUGCAAGUCGAACGGCAGCACAGUAAGAGCUUGCUCUUACGGGUGGCGAGUGGCGGACGGGUGAGGAAUACAUCGGAAUCUACUUUUUCGUGGGGGAUAACGUAGGGAAACUUACGCUAAUACCGCAUACUACCUACGGGUUAAAGCAGGGGAUCUUCGGACCUUUCGCGAUUGGAUGAGCCGGUGUCGGAUUAGCUAGUUGGCGUGGUAAAGGCCCACCAAGGCGACGAUCCGUAGCUGGUCUGAGAGGAUGAUCAGCCACACUGGAACUGAGACACGGUCCAGACUCCUACGGGAGGCAGCAGUGGGGAAUAUUGGACAAUGGGCGCAAGCCUGAUCCAGCCAUACCGCGUGGGUGAAGAAGGCCUUCGGGUUGUAAAGCUCUUUUGUUGGGAAAGAACAGCAGCAGGUUAAUACCCCGAUGUUCUGACGGUACCCAAAGAAUAAGCACCGGCUAACUUCGUG
This 492-nucleotide ribosomal RNA is filed under the name uncultured bacterium. Its description in RNAcentral is "partial 16S ribosomal RNA". It matches the Rfam family "Bacterial small subunit ribosomal RNA", at positions 29 to 507 of the family's 1533-position model. The record is from RNAcentral.